AGUUUUCCUACAGUUGGCUUCCCUUAAUUGUUUUUCAAAAAGGAUAUGUAGUAAACUUAUGAAAGACGUAUCUAGAUCGGCUGUUCGCAAGUACGUGAGGACGCAGAGUAAAUUGAAAACUGCCUUGUAUAUGUGCAGCACUACGCCACUGGCAAUUUUGUUAGCAACGUUGUCCAUUUGGUUCGUCGAGGAGGCUUUUUUAUUUUGUUAUUGCUUUCCUCUGUCAGAUUUUUUUUUUAUUGUUGAUAUUACUGGUGAUCGUCCCGC
This is a long non-coding RNA of Zophobas morio, 267 nucleotides long. RefSeq lists it as uncharacterized. The record is from RefSeq and is a predicted model, not a curated record. The transcript has 3 exons. NCBI's taxonomy places the organism in Eukaryota, Metazoa, Arthropoda, Insecta, Coleoptera, Tenebrionidae.